UAGGGAAUCUUCCGCAAUGGACGAAAGUCUUGACGGAGCAACGCCGCGUGAGUGAUGAAGGUUUUCGGAUCGUAAAGCUCUGUUGCCAGGGAAGAACGUCCGUUAGAGUAACUGCUAACGGAGUGACGGUACCUUGAGAAGAAAGCCCCGGCUAACUACGUG
Molecule: ribosomal RNA, 162 nt
Filed under: Paenibacillus sp. 29c
Lineage: Bacteria; Bacillati; Bacillota; Bacilli; Caryophanales; Paenibacillaceae
Description: partial 16S ribosomal RNA
Rfam family: Bacterial small subunit ribosomal RNA
Source: RNAcentral